UUCCCAGACGGGAGGUGAGGAGGUCAGUCUGGACCUCUGGACAUUUGCAGCGCUAACUUGCAGACGUGUCAUGUGAAAGCAGUGUGAGCCUUUGAGUGUUUGACGGCGGUUUGUUUGUAUAUAUGCCGCAAAGCGCAAUUCAGAUCAUGAGAUUAGCUGUCAGGUCAUCUGCUGUGAAAUCCAUUAUGAAAAACACCCGGAAACUGAUGCUUGACUUGAAAUACUUAGUUUACUAAAUUGCAGAAAUUAUCUUUGGAAGGUUUUGUCAGAUAAAUACAUUUUUUUAAUGUAUCUAUAUUUAUAUCUCUAUAUCUAUCUACACGCGCACGCACACACACAUGCACACAUAUAUAUAUAAAAUAGUGUUUGCAGUAAUACCUCAUGCAAAGUGCUAGUUGAAUAAAUCUGUCACUGAAACUUCAAUUCCAGAUUACUACACUCCAAGAUCUGCUAUCAUAAAUGAAAACACAUCUUUAGAAAGUUCACAACGGUCUGAAGUAGAUGAGCUAUUGAAACGCAAUAGAAAAUCUACCCCUUACAGAUUAGUCAAACAAUGAAUGUAGUCCUGCAUGUAAACAUUGUCUAACUGUAUUGGCAGGGUAAAUGGUUCCUGAUUUACUACUGCAGGAAUAGGUAGCAUUUCCUAAGACUAUGAAUACUAAUAUAAAUGAUCUUGAGGGGGGAAAAAAGUAUUUUAAAUCUGUAAGCCUGGUCAAGCAAUUCAGAUGCUGAUAACAAAUCCAUCAAUUACCAAAUUAUUACACAUUUCCAAUAUUAUGAUUAGUCUCUGUGAGCAUCAAUAUACAAUUUGCUAGGAAGUAAAUCCUAAAUAGUUCUUGAAAUACUUUGAGAAAUAGUUUUAAUCUGUGGAUGUCCUGAAAAGCCACAGCCCUGAAUCAGGAGAUCAAAGAGGAACGAAACAGUCAGUUUUUUUAGGAUUUCAGUGAUGGCCUUUCUUGUUUGUUGUUGUUGCUACCUCUCUUUGUGUUUUCAAACUGCACACAGUCUUGUGUGCAUUAUGGAUUUAUGCAGUAAUAGCCAUAUUUACCUUUGCAGCCAUUUGAAUGUAGCAGCAAAGCAUAAGCUCCUGAAGGAGAAAAAGAUAAAAGAAGAAAAAAAAAAAGAGAGAAAGAAGCAGAGCAACACAGGUGGUAGUGAAGGCACACUUCUAGCUUCUUGUAGAUUACUGCCUUGCUGCAGCUGCUUGCCGUACCUGCAACGGAUGGUUUUGCCUUGA
Molecule: long non-coding RNA, 1237 nt
Filed under: Struthio camelus australis
Lineage: Eukaryota; Metazoa; Chordata; Aves; Struthioniformes; Struthionidae
Description: lncRNA (ENSSCUG00000011137.1)
Source: RNAcentral